GACGAACGCUGGCGGCGUGCCUAAUACAUGCAAGUAGAACGCACAGUUUAUACCGUAGCUUGCUCCACCAUAGACUGUGAGUUGCGAACGGGUGAGUCACGCGUAGGUAACCUGCCUGGUAGCGGGGGAUAACUAUUGGAAACGAUAGCUAAUACCGCAUAAUAUUGAUUAUUGCAUGAUAAUUGAUUGAAAGAUGCUAUUGCAUCACUACCAGAUGGACCUGCGUUGUAUUAGCUAGUAGGUGAGGUAACGGCUCACCUAGGCGACGAUACAUAGCCGACCUGGGAGGGUGAUCGGCCACACUGGGACUGAGACACGGCCCAGACUCCUACGGGAGGCAGCAGUAGGGAAUCUUCGGCAAUGGACGAGAGUCUGACCGAGCAACGCCGCGUGAGUGAAGAAGGGUGUCGGAUCGUAAAGCUCUGUUGUAAGAGAAGAACGGGUGUGAGAGUGGAAAGUUCACACUGUGACGGUAUCUUACCAGAAAGGGACGGCUAACUACGUG
This 505-nucleotide ribosomal RNA is filed under the name uncultured bacterium. RNAcentral describes it as "partial 16S ribosomal RNA". It matches the Rfam family "Bacterial small subunit ribosomal RNA", at positions 28 to 507 of the family's 1533-position model. The record is from RNAcentral.